RNAcentral lists this ribosomal RNA (2253 nucleotides) under human gut metagenome. RNAcentral describes it as "bacterial LSU rRNA". It matches the Rfam family "Bacterial large subunit ribosomal RNA", at positions 148 to 2494 of the family's 2925-position model. The record is from RNAcentral.
UCAUCAUAUACUGAAUACAUAGGUAUAUGAGGGGAACCGCCUGAACUGAAACAUCUAAGUAGGGCGAGGAAGAGAAAUCAACUGAGAUUCCGUAAGUAGUGGCGAGCGAACGCGGAAGAGGCCAAACCGAGAGUAGUAAUACUUUCGGGGUUCGGACAGAAUACGGUAUUGUAAAGGUUUAGUGGAAUGGAAUGGGAAGUCCAACCGAAGAAGGUGAGAGUCCUGUACACGAAAAGCCUGAACAGCCAUCUGUAUCCAGAGUACCGCCGGACACGUGAAACCCGGUGGGAAUACGGGGGGACCAUCCUCCAAGCCUAAAUACUACUCGGUGACCGAUAGUGAAGAAGUACUGUGAAGGAAAGGUGAAAAGUACCCCUGACGGGGAGUGAAAAAGAACCUGAAACCUUGUGUUUACAAGCACCGAAAGCUCAUCAAAGAGCGAUCGGGUACCUUUUGUAGAAUGGUCCGGCGAGUGAAUGUAACCGGCGAGGUUAAGCACUUAAGGUGUGAAGCCGCAGCGAGAGCAAGUCUGAAUAGGGCGUAUGAAGUCGGUUGUAUUCGACCCGAAACCGGGUGACCUACCCAUGGUCAGGUUGAAGUAAAGGUAAAACUUUAUGGAGGACCGAACCGACUCCCGUUGAAAUGGUAGCGGAUGAACUGUGGGUAGCGGAGAAAUUCCAAUCGAACCCGGAGAUAGCUGGUUCUCUCCGAAAUAGCUUUAGGGCUAGCCUUGAAAUAGAUUACCGGAGGUAAAGCACUGAAUUGGCUAGGGGCCGAGAGGUUACUGAACCUUAUCAAACUAAGAAUGCCGGAUAAUCGUUUUUCAGGAGUCAGACAGUGGGAGAUAAGUUUCAUUGUCAAAAGGGAAACAGCCCAGACCCACAGCUAAGGUCCCCAAGUAUAGUUAAGUGGAAAAGGAUGUGGAAUUGCACAGACAACCAGGAUGUUGGCUUAGAAGCAGCCACUCAUUAAAAGAGUGCGUAAUAGCUCACUGGUCGAGUGACUCUGCGCCGAAAAUUUAACGGGGCUAAACUAUACACCGAAGCUUGGGAUACAUCUAAUGUAUGGUAGGAGAGCGUUCUGUAUGGGGAGAAGUCGUAGCGAAAGCGGCGGUGGACUAUACAGAAGUGAGAAUGCCGGAAUAAGUAGCGAGAAUUAAGUGAGAAUCUUAAUGGCCGAAAGUCUAAGGUUUUUGGAGGAAGGUUCGUCCGCUCCAAGUAAGUCGGGAGCUAAGGUCAGGCCGAAAGGCGUAGCCGAUGCACAUACGGUUGAUAUUCCGUAACCAUCUGUAAUUUAAGCAAAGGGACACUUCAAAAGGGUGUGACCCGGGCGUUGGUUGACCCGGGCGUAAGGGACCGAAAUUAGAGUAGGGAAGCACACUUAGCUGAAGGCGAGAAAAGCUUUGCGUAUAGAAACAGAUGCCCGUACCGCAAACCGACACAGGUGGACAGGAAGAGAAUUCUAAGGCCAGCGGGAGAAGGGUAGUUAAGGAACUCGGCAAAUUGACUCCGUAACUUCGGAAUAAGGAGUGCUCGAAAGAGCCGCAGAGAAUAGGCCCAGGCGACUGUUUAGCAAAAACACAGGUCUCUGCCAAAUCGAAAGAUGAAGUAUAGGGGCUGACACCUGCCCGGUGCCGGAAGGUUAAGAGGAGGAGUGAGAGCUCCGAAUUGAAGCCCCGGUAAACGGCGGCCGUAACUAUAACGGUCCUAAGGUAGCGAAAUUCCUUGUCGGGUAAGUUCCGACCCGCACGAAUGGUGUAACGAUCUGGGCACUGUCUCAACUACCCACCCGGCGAAAUUGUAGUACCGGUGAAGAUGCCGGUUACCUGCGGCAAGACGGAAAGACCCCAUGGAGCUUUACUGUAGCCUGAUAUUGGGUUUCGGAAAUCUAUGUACAGGAUAGGCGGGAGACUGGGAAACAUGAGCGUCAGCUUGUGUGGAGUCGAUGUUGGGAUACCGCCCUUAGGUUUCUGGAAUUCUAACCUGCGGCCGUGAAUCCGGUCGGGGGACAUUGUCAGGUGGGCAGUUUGACUGGGGCGGUCGCCUCCGAAAAGGUAACGGAGGCGCUCAAAGGUUAGCUCAGCACGGACGGAAACCGUGCCUCUGAGUGUAAACGCAAAAGCUAGCCUAACUGCGAGGGUGACGGCCCGAGCAGUAACGAAAGUUGGAGUUAGUGAUCCGGCGGUAUGUGAAUGGAAAUGCCGUCGCUCAACGGAUAAAAGCUACCCUGGGGAUAACAGGCUGAUCUCCCCCA